CGCCACCACGCCCAGCUAAUUUUGUAUUUUGUUGGUCAGGCUGGUUUCGAACUCCCGACCUCAGGUGAUCCGCCCACCUCAGCCUCCCAAAGGCUGAGAUUACAGGCGUGAGCCACUGCGCCCCACCCACAGCCUAACUUUUCAACUUUGCCUACUAUCGCCCCUCUCUGUUCAACCCCACCCCAUGCAACACACUAUCCAGAAGUUAUGCUUUUGUCCUCUAGGCCAGGGGCUGCAAGCUCUGAUGUCCGGGGGUCAAGUAGGUAAUUUAAGUGAGGGAAGUGGGUUAGGUAUAAGACAAAAGGGAGUGGUGGGGACUAUGGCAAAUUAGAGAGCACAUGCUCUGUCUAAAGGGAUGGCCGGGUGCGGCGGCUCACGCCUGUAAUCCCAGCACUUUGGGAGGCUGAGGCUGACGGAUCACUAGAGGUCAGGAGUUCAAGACCCCCCUGGCCAACAUGGUGUAACCCCCUCUCUACUAAAUAUACAAAAAAAUUAGCCAGGUGUGGUGGUGCACGCCUGUAAUCCCAGCUACUCAGGAGGCCGAGGCAGGAGAAUUGCUUGAACCUGAGAGGCAGAGGUUGCAGUGAGCCAAGAUCGUGCCACUGCACUCCAGCCUGGGCAACAGAGCAAGACUCCAUCUCAAAAAUAAACAAAAACAAAAAUUAAUAAAAAUAAUAAAGGGAGAACCACUACUCCCAUCAGCCAAGUGCUAUCCUGGAGAAAUGCAACCUGGUGGUCCCAGUUCUUCCAGUUGCUUAAGUGGGAAAUCCAGACUUUAAUGUAAAAUAUGCUAAUUAAUUAAAGGUUUAAAAAAAAAAAACCCAAACAUUAUGUGGGCCAAACAAGACUUGCCUGUAGGCCACCAGUUUAUGUCUAUGUAGGCCCUGGAGAGCUGUGAAUGGUUUAUAGUCAAGGAAGGGACAUAGUCAGAUGUGUGUGUUUUCAAAGAUUCCUCUGGGAUGGUAUGGAGGCUGGGCUGAAGGAGCACAGGGGUUGGCCAAGACCUGUGAGGAAGCUGGUAAAUCAUUCAUUUAAUCUUUCAUCCAUUUAAUCCUUCAUUCAUUCACCUAGCCCCUUCUCUGCAACAGGCCCUGAGCAGUUGCAGGAAUCUCGAUGAGAGACAGCACAGCAGAGGUCCUGGAGAUGGUAGUUAAAGGCAGAAUUGAGAAAUCCAAAGGAAAACUGACAGGUACCAACAGGCUGUACUGGUAAUGGCAGGGGCGGUCUGCAGGGUACUGGCUAGGGUGAGGGCUGCUGGGUGAUGGUGCUGAGCAGGAGAUGUAGGAAAGAGGGAGAUCCGUUUUUGGACAAGCUGAGUUUGUAGUGCCUGGGGGAUAUCCAAGAAGAGGGUCCAGCAGGCAGCUGGGCCUACAAGCAACCCCGUUCCGUUACACACUCAGUAGCCAAAGCAAAUAGAGCUCCUGAUCCCCUCAAACCUGCUCCAAAACCAUGGCUUUAAUGCUCAGGCCCAAAUCCCUAAUCACCCUUGACUUUCACACCCCACGUCUAUCAGCAAAACAUAAUGGAGUUACCAUCAGAAUAUAUCCAGCAUCUGGCUACUGCCAUCUGGACCCCCCACCAUCUCUCACCUGGAUUAUCCCUGCCUUUUCCUUUGUCCCAUAGCUUAUUCUCAACACAGCAGCCAGAGGGAUCUUAGUAAAACCCGAGACAAAUCAUGUACCCCUCUGCUCGGAACCAGGCAGUGUCUCCCCAUCCCAUGCAAAGUAAAAGUAAACUCCUUAGAAUGGCUCAGAAGCCCCUGCAUCUUCAGGCCCCGUCACCUCCUCUGCCCUUUCUGCUGCUGCUCUCCCUCUCCCUCACGCUGCUUCAGCCACGCGGGGUGCCUCGCUGUGCGCCUUGCUGUGCCUUGAACACGCCUGCCUCCAUGCCUUGGCGCUGCCUGCUUCUUCUGCAUGGAGAGAUUUCUCUCCAAAUAUCUGCAUGGUCGGCUCCCCAAGGCUUUCCCUGACCCAUGCAAUGUAAAACAGCCUCCUCCCCAGCUCUGGCUGGCAUUCUCCACCCUCUUAUUCUAAUCAGUUUUCCUCCAUAGUACCUGUCACCAUCUGACAUAUCACAUAUAUUCGCUUAUUGCUUGUGGUGUGUUGCUCUCAUUAAAAUGCCAGCUCCAGGAGGUGGGGACUUUGCUGUGCUAUCUGAUAUAUCCCAGAGUUGAGACCUGGCACACAUGCAGUAAGCAAGGAAGAUCCUCAUACGGAUUUGUUCCAUGAAUGACUGAAUGACCUAAGAUGCAGAGCCACCUGUGCCCUCCUUGGCUCAAAACCCUCCUCAUUCUUGCCGGAAAUGUAAAUUAGUUGUAAUCUUUUUAGAAGGACAUUUAUCAAUUUCUAUCAAAGUUUACAACGCGCAUAGCAUUUGAGCCACCAAGCCCACCUCUAAGCAUGGUCCUAAAGAUAGACCUGGGGUCCUGAAGAUGGUCCUGGGGUACACAAGGGCAUGGCUAGUGAUGAGAACAAGACGGGGAGGCAGGUUCUGUGAACUGUGGGACAACCACGCAGAGCACCGGGCAGCUACUAGAAGGUGUGGGGUAAUGAGGGAAAGCACCCAAGAUAAAUUAAUUGAAAAAGGCCAGGGGACAGCAUCGCUACUGGGAUCCCACGCGUGUAGCCAAGGAAAAGGACACACAUGGAUGGGUUUAUUUAUAAAGAGAAUUUCUGGAUGGAAUCCUAUAAAACUUUUAGCAGUGACUGCCUCUCAGAAGGAAGAGCGGGGAUCUGAGGGUGGGAGAAGCUUUUCUUUGUGCGCCCCUUUGUGAUGUUUAAAUUGUGGUUAUGUGCGCACAUAGUCCUUUUUUUUUCCAAUGGACA
RNAcentral lists this long non-coding RNA (2825 nucleotides) under Homo sapiens (human). RNAcentral's name for it is "HSALNT0098484". Lineage: Eukaryota; Metazoa; Chordata; Mammalia; Primates; Hominidae. The record is from RNAcentral.